AGGCGUGAUGACGAGGCACUACGGUGCUGAAGCAACAAAUGCCCUGCUUCCAGGAAAAGCCUCUAAGCAUCAGGUAACAUCAAAUCGUACCCCAAACCGACACAGGUGGUCAGGUAGAGAAUACCAAGGCGCUUGAGAGAACUCGGGUGAAGGAACUAGGCAAAAUGGUGCCGUAACUUCGGGAGAAGGCACGCUGAUACGUAGGUGAAGUCCCUUGCGGAUGGAGCUGAAAUCAGUCGAAGAUACCAGCUGGCUGCAACUGUUUAUUAAAAACACAGCACUGUGCAAACACGAAAGUGGACGUAUACGGUGUGACGCCUGCCCGGUGCCGGAAGGUUAAUUGAUGGGGUUAGCGGUAACGCGAAGCUCUUGAUCGAAGCCCCGGUAAACGGCGGCCGUAACUAUAACGGUCCUAAGGUAGCGAAAUUCCUUGUCGGGUAAGUUCCGACCUGCACGAAUGGCGUAAUGAUGGCCAGGCUGUCUCCACCCGAGACUCAGUGAAAUUGAACUCGCUGUGAAGAUGCAGUGUACCCGCGGCAAGACGGAAAGACCCCGUGAACCUUUACUAUAGCUUGACACUGAACAUUGAGCCUUGAUGUGUAGGAUAGGUGGGAGGCUUUGAAGUGUGGACGCCAGUCUGCAUGGAGCCGACCUUGAAAUACCACCCUUUAAUGUUUGAUGUUCUAACGUUGGCCCCUAAUCGGGGUUGCGGACAGUGUCUGGUGGGUAGUUUGACUGGGGCGGUCUCCUCCUAAAGAGUAACGGAGGAGCACGAAGGUUGGCUAAUCCUGGUCGGACAUCAGGAGGUUAGUGCAAUGGCAUAAGCCAGCUUGACUGCGAGCGUGACGGCGCGAGCAGGUGCGAAAGCAGGUCAUAGUGAUCCGGUGGUUCUGAAUGGAAGGGCCAUCGCUCAACGGAUAAAAGGUACUCCGGGGAUAACAGGCUGAUACCGCCCAAGAGUUCAUAUCGACGGCGGUGUUUGGCACCUCGAUGUCGGCUCAUCACAUCCUGGGGCUGAAGUAGGUCCCAAGGGUAUGGCUGUUCGCCAUUUAAAGUGGUACGCGAGCUGGGUUUAGAACGUCGUGAGACAGUUCGGUCCCUAUCUGCCGUGGGCGCUGGAGAACUGAGGGGGGCUGCUCCUAGUACGAGAGGACCGGAGUGGACGCAUCACUGGUGUUCGGGUUGUCAUGCCAAUGGCACUGCCCGGUAGCUAAAUGCGGAAGAGAUAAGUGCUGAAAGCAUCUAAGCACGAAACUUGCCCCGAGAUGAGUUCUCCCUGACUCCUUGAGAGUCCUGAAGGAACGUUGAAGACGACGACGUUGAUAGGCCGGGUGUGUAAGCGCAGCGAUGCGUUGAGCUAACCGGUACUAAUGAACCGUGAGGCUUAACCUU
Molecule: ribosomal RNA, 1392 nt
Filed under: Escherichia coli
Lineage: Bacteria; Pseudomonadati; Pseudomonadota; Gammaproteobacteria; Enterobacterales; Enterobacteriaceae
Description: partial 23S ribosomal RNA
Rfam family: Bacterial large subunit ribosomal RNA
Source: RNAcentral